GGGCGUGCCUAAUACAUGCAAGUCGAACGGUCUUUCUAUGGAAGCUUGCUUCCACUGAGAAGAUAGUGGCGGACGGGUGAGUAACACGUGGGUAACCUGCCCAUAAGAGGGGGAUAACAUCCGGAAACGGGUGCUAAUACCGCAUAGUUUUCUUGAUCGCAUGAUUGAGAAAGGAAAGACGGCCUUUGUGCUGUCGCUUAUGGAUGGACCCGCGGCGUAUUAGUUAGUUGGUGAGGUAAUGGCUCACCAAGACGAUGAUACGUAGCCGACCUGAGAGGGUGAUCGGCCACAUUGGGACUGAGACACGGCCCAAACUCCUACGGGAGGCAGCAGUAGGGAAUCUUCCGCAAUGGACGAAAGUCUGACGGAGCAACGCCGCGUGAGUGAAGAAGGGGUUUUCGGAUCGUAAAACUCUGUUGUCAGAGAAGAACAAGUUGGAGAGUAACUGCUCCAGCCUUGACGGUAUCUGACCAGAAAGCCACGGCUAACUACGUGCCAGCCGCCGC
This 506-nucleotide ribosomal RNA is filed under the name uncultured bacterium. Its description in RNAcentral is "bacterial SSU rRNA". It matches the Rfam family "Bacterial small subunit ribosomal RNA", at positions 40 to 518 of the family's 1533-position model. The record is from RNAcentral.